AAAAGGCUCGGGUCGACUCCACCCUUCUGUGAACCAACCUCGUUGCUUCGGGGGUGACCCCGCCGUUCUCGGGCGGCGGCGGCACCCCCGGAGGCCAUUCAAACCCUGCGUAACUGUGUGUCGGAGUUUAAACAAAUUAAACAAAACUUUCAACAACGGAUCUCUUGGUUCUGGCAUCGAUGAAGAACGCAGCGAAAUGCGAUAAGUAAUGUGAAUUGCAGAAUUCAGUGAAUCAUCGAAUCUUUGAACGCACAUUGCGCCCCCUGGUAUUCCGGGGGGCAUGCCUGUUCGAGCGUCAUUACACCAAUCAAGCCUGGCUUGGUAUUGGGCGUCGCGGGUUCGCUCGCGCGCCUUAAAGUCUCCCCGGCUGGGCGGCUCCGUUCUCCAUGCGUGGUGGUUUUAAUCAUUCGCGGCGGGAGCGGGCGGCACGGCCGUUAAACUACCCCUUCGAAGG
Molecule: small RNA, 454 nt
Filed under: Mycosphaerella sp. 1497 FbLB
Lineage: Eukaryota; Fungi; Ascomycota; Dothideomycetes; Mycosphaerellales; Mycosphaerellaceae
Description: eukaryotic LSU rRNA
Rfam family: 5.8S ribosomal RNA (bases 145-298)
Source: RNAcentral